UACGUAGGGGGCUAGCGUUGUCCGGAAUCAUUGGGCGUAAAGCGCGUGUAGGCGGUUCGGUAAGUCCGCUGUGAAAGUCGGGGGCUCAACCCUCGGAAGCCGGUGGAUACUGUCGAGCUAGAGUACGGAAGAGGCGAGUGGAAUUCCUGGUGUAGCGGUGAAAUGCGCAGAUAUCAGGAGGAACACCGAUGGCGAAGGCAGCUCUCUGGUACGUGACUGACGCUGAGACGCGAAAGCGUGGGGAGCGAACAGG
Molecule: ribosomal RNA, 253 nt
Filed under: uncultured bacterium
Lineage: Bacteria
Description: partial 16S ribosomal RNA
Rfam family: Bacterial small subunit ribosomal RNA
Source: RNAcentral